RNAcentral lists this long non-coding RNA (918 nucleotides) under Physcomitrium patens. RNAcentral's name for it is "long non-coding RNA (PPAT_LNC004557)". Lineage: Eukaryota; Viridiplantae; Streptophyta; Bryopsida; Funariales; Funariaceae. The record is from RNAcentral.
UUUGGUUUAGGAUUUAGGAUUUGGAUUAGAGUUUAGGGUUGGAUUAGGGUUUGGAUUAGGGUUUGGAUUAGGUUUUAGGAUUUGGUUAGGGUUUGAUUUAGGGUUUGGAUUAGGUUUUAGGAUUUGAUUAGGGUUUGAUUUAGGGUUUGGAUUAGAGUUUGGACUAGGAUUUGGUUAGGGUUUGAUUUAAGGUUUGGUUUAGAGUUUAGGAUUUGGAUUAGAGUUUAGGAUUGGAUUAGGAUUUGGAUUAGGGUUUGGAUUAGGAUUUAGGGUUUGGUUAGGAUUUGAUUUAGGGUUUGGAUUAGGGUUUGAUUAGGAUUUGAUUUAAGGUUUGAUUUAGUGUUUAAGGUUGGAUUAGGGUUUGGUUUAGGGUUUGGUUUAGGGUUUGGUUUAGGGUUUAGGGUUUGGAAUAGGGUUUAAUUUAAGAUUUAUUUAGGAUUUGACUUAGGGUUUAGGAAUUAUUAGGGUUUAAGAUUUAAUUAGGUUUGGUCUAAAGUUGAGUGAAAUUCAAUAGGGUUUUAACUAGAAUUAAAUUAAGGUUGAAUUGAUAUAUAUUUGAGUAAAAUUUUUGAUCAUUCUAAUAUUUCUUUAAGAAUUUUAUUGUUUGUUUGAAGUUUCUUUGAGUUGUUUUGAAUUUGAUUGCGUUUGUUUACCAUUAUUAUAGUUUAAUUAGAGCAUUGUUAUUAUUCUAUUUAGGAUUUUGUUAUCGCAAUUUCUAUUCUUCCUUCUACAGCCAAGUGCCCGGAGCAUUCUCAAGCAAGACUUCAUACAUUAUGACAUAUUUGGUGAACCUGACAUGAAACGCUUGAGGUGGAAGGAAUUUAUUAUUAUUUUUAUUUAUUUAUUUGAAUUUUGGAGAAAGAAUUAAAAGAGAAUGGAAGGAGGCAAUUUGGAUAGUGCUUCAAGUGGAGUUGGAAG